UACGAAGGACCCAAGCGUUAUCCGGAUUUAUUGGGUUUAAAGGGUGCGUAGGCGGGUUAUUAAGUCAGUGGUGAAAGCCUACAGCUUAACUGUAGAAUUGCCAUUGAUACUGAUGAUCUUGAGUAUGAUUGAGGUGGGCGGAAUGUGUCAUGUAGCGGUGAAAUGCUUAGAUAUGACACAGAACACCGAUUGCGAAGGCAGCUCACUAAGUCAUAACUGACGCUGAUGCACGAAAGCGUGGGGAGUAAACAGG
Molecule: ribosomal RNA, 253 nt
Filed under: uncultured bacterium
Lineage: Bacteria
Description: partial 16S ribosomal RNA
Rfam family: Bacterial small subunit ribosomal RNA
Source: RNAcentral